This 237-nucleotide ribosomal RNA is filed under the name uncultured bacterium. RNAcentral describes it as "partial 16S ribosomal RNA". It matches the Rfam family "Bacterial small subunit ribosomal RNA", at positions 15 to 248 of the family's 1533-position model. The record is from RNAcentral.
GAUCAUGCUCAGAUUGAACGCUGGCGGCAGGCCUAACACAUGCAAGUCGAACGGUAACAGGAAGAAGCUUGCUUCUUUGCUGACGAGUGGCGGACGGGUGAGUAAUGUCUGGGAAACUGCCUGAUGGAGGGGGAUAACUACUGGAAACGGUAGCUAAUACCGCAUAAUGUCGCAAGACCAAAGAGGGGGGACCUUCGGGCCUCUUGCCAUCGGAUGUGCCCAGAUGGGAUUAGCUAG